AAUCCUUGCUACCUGGGU
This 18-nucleotide microRNA is filed under the name Homo sapiens (human). RNAcentral describes it as "hsa-miR-500b-5p". Its record names the gene hsa-miR-500b-5p. The record is from miRBase by way of RNAcentral. Lineage: Eukaryota; Metazoa; Chordata; Mammalia; Primates; Hominidae.